UAUUGAGUAAGUCAUCCUCUGCACACACACUCUCAGGGAUAUGGUAACCAUUCUUUCCUUUGACCCUUCAGGCCUCACGUGUACCAGCUCUCUGCUUUCCUUUGCCUUGGGACGUUCCAUCCCUGGAAGUUUCCCUGCCCACAUCUUUGUAGAGAGUCCAUUCUCCAAGCUUCAGUGUGUCAUCUGUGAGGACUGUGACCAACCUGGUACAUCGCCUCAGGGCAUUCAUUUCAGGCUCCUUCUAAAUGGUCAAGGAUCAGAGGGAAACAGACCAUUUUCUAUUGUGACAAAGAGAGAACCCAGGAAAGGGGCAGUGUUUUUCCCCUCACAGGUGAUGGAGUUUGUAUACAGAAUGCAGUGGAUAAUGGCAGGCUUGUCCUCUGAACAGAUGGUGAUGGUCUUGUUGCUAGGAUGAGGCCUCAAGAAUUUAGUUUUUAAUUCCACAUUAUUUGCCUCAGUGCCAUGAAUAUCCCUAGGUUUCCUGAGGCAAAAAUACAGAAAAAAAAUCCACAGAAAGAGUGACACACAGAGAGAGAAAGAGCUAGAGAUGGGGCAACUGAGCAGAGACUGGAGCCCGGUCAAGAGAGGCUUUGGGGAAAAUGCCUGCUCAGCUGUCUGCAAUCACCUGGGUUUAAAGCAGGCAGGAAGGAAGAUUGGUUUGGCAGGAGAACUGGCCCUUUGAUGCCUUCGAUACCACAGAGAAAAAUUCCCAUUUCUUCCCAUUAGAAGUCUGUUUACUUUCCUAAUUAAGAUAAACAUGUUUCUGAAGGAGUUAGCUCUUAUAGCAUGACAUUUAUAAAAUCAACUAUAUAUACACACAAGAAUGUUUGCCAGGAAUUUGGGCUGAUGGUGAUUGUAUGAAGCAUUUUAUAGAAAUAUUUUUAAAUAGUUGCCUUAUUUAAAAGUGAGCGACUUUCAUUCCCUCCAGUCAAUUAAAUAUCUAAUUUCAACUCUCGGAGAUAAUAACUGAAGUAGUUUUUUUAAUAAAUGAAUGAACAGUUAGAAAACUGUUAAACACAUAGCCCUGAAGCAUGAAAAAUAUAUUCGUUGAACAGCUUUAUUCUUUUAUUGUUAAUUUACUUCAGAGAAUAUCCACUCGUGUAAUUUUCAAUAAAGUACUCUUAUUUUGAAGUCUCCUUUAUUGAGUAUAAGAGUGAUGUAUGUGAUUAUAGGCCAGUAGGCUAAAGAAGUUAGAGAUUCUGAACACAAGGGUGAAUGAGGGUGUAACUAGGUAUCAGAACAGGAUUACCUACCAGAAUUGUCAGACCACCUGCCUGAAUUAGUCACUUCAGUCAAACAAUUACGUUCCAUGCCACCCCUCCAACACAUACACCGUAACUGACAUUAAUCACUUGUCUCAGAAUUAUCUGAAUGCAACUUUAAUAAUUCAGUAAUUAACCACCUGAAUUUUUUGGCAUAAUGUGACUGAUGGCAUUGUACACAAGUCUCACA
Molecule: long non-coding RNA, 1452 nt
Organism: Pan paniscus (pygmy chimpanzee)
Lineage: Eukaryota; Metazoa; Chordata; Mammalia; Primates; Hominidae
Source: Ensembl